Molecule: long non-coding RNA, 369 nt
Organism: Tupaia belangeri chinensis (Chinese tree shrew)
Lineage: Eukaryota; Metazoa; Chordata; Mammalia; Scandentia; Tupaiidae
Exons: 3
Source: RefSeq, a predicted model, not a curated record
UCAGAUACAAGUCCAGGAAGGACGCGGAUUUGCCGUUUGCUCUUUUUCCAACAUUGCUCCAUGAAUGGCUGGUGACUGGAGGCCCAUAUCAGAGCUUGUUACGUUCAUCAUACAGUCCAAUGCCUAAAGCUUUACUGUGUUGGUUAGGGGAUGGAAAUGAAAACAUGUAAAAAAAUUAUUUUAUGAAGAGAUGGAAGAGAGUAGGGAUACACUGGUACACUUCUACAUCAGCAACACAUAAAAGAUGGAGAAACUGAGGAUUAGGACUACUUGCUCAAGACCACAGAACUAACAAUCUAGUAUUGGACAUACAUCACUCUCUCUCAUCAGACUCGGGGCUGAAAUCUAGCCAGACAGGACCUACAGUGA